RNAcentral lists this long non-coding RNA (510 nucleotides) under Mytilus galloprovincialis (Mediterranean mussel). Lineage: Eukaryota; Metazoa; Mollusca; Bivalvia; Mytilida; Mytilidae. The record is from RNAcentral.
CAUGUUUCAACGUAUUAGCAAACAUAAUAAAUUGACAACAUGAAUUAAAUAUCAUCAAAUAUCUAAAAAAAAACCUACAUGUAUAAAAUAUAAUACAUGGCAAUUAUAACCUAUGAUACAGGUUACAAUGCAAAAAUUAUUAUGUUCCAAACCAAUAUCACCGUGACAAUAAUAACUGAAGUAGCAUGAGUUUCAUGACGAAGCAUAGAAAAUCAAAAAAACACUACAUUAACACAUAUUUGACGAAGCAAAUACACAGAGGGCAUAAGUACAAGCAACCACGCCCUCCGCACCAGUUAAAAUAUCAUCCACCUUACACCAAGCUAGUAAGGAAAAUUGGUUUAUUUGCAAAAACAAAUACACAGAGGUCAUAAGUACAAGCAACCACGACCUCUGCACCAAUUAAAAAACGGUAACCUUACCCAAGUAAGCAAGGAAAUUAGGUUUGAAAAAUAAAAUAUUAGAAAAUGAUAAUCAAUAAAUGAAAUAAAAUAAGUUUUGGGUUGCGAC